CCCUGCCAUUUGUACACACCGCCCGUCGCUACUACCGAUUGAACGUUUUAGUGAGGUAUUUGGAUUGGACCUGCGAGGGUUAACGCCUUCGCUGCGUCCGAGAAGACUCCCAAACUUGAGCGUUUAGAGGAAGU
This 134-nucleotide ribosomal RNA is filed under the name uncultured eukaryote. RNAcentral's name for it is "partial small subunit ribosomal RNA". It matches the Rfam family "Eukaryotic small subunit ribosomal RNA", at positions 1651 to 1783 of the family's 1831-position model. The record is from RNAcentral.